Molecule: non-coding RNA, 2016 nt
Organism: Carica papaya (papaya)
Lineage: Eukaryota; Viridiplantae; Streptophyta; Magnoliopsida; Brassicales; Caricaceae
Source: RefSeq, a predicted model, not a curated record
GAAACUUGUAAUCCUUUACAAAUUAAUAAAGAGAUAUUUUCUUAUAUAUGUCUUAAAUUUAUUCUGUAUUUUAAAUCUAUUUUAAAUAUAAAGGAAACAUGAAGAAUUUGGUUGAUGGUAAUUUGGUGCCCGCUGACUAGAGAAAUUCUCAACCUGAGUCCCUGCCUUCUUUUAACCCUUAGGCAAGGGUAGAGGUUAGGCUUCCCCACACUCUCGAGGGCUAGAAAAUUCAAAAUCCACAGGUGUAUGUCGCUUAGGCCUUAUCCUUAGGUAAGGGUUACCGUGGGCGUGUCAGAUUGGAACUUCGAUUUGACAGAUUUCCACUUCUUGUUUGAGUGGACAUCAGAGUGGACUGUUGCAGGUAAAUCCCUUCUAACUGUCAUGAUCUUAGACAUCCUACUUCAUGCAUGUCAAUCACUUAUCCUCAUCAAGGGCCAGGAUACAUUACAUGUCAUCCAACUGUCCUCCUUGAUACAGAAAACUCCAUUCAAAAGCCUUCUUUCCUUCUGUCUUCUUUAUUUUUUCAUAGAGAAUGAGAAAAUAUAGAGAAUUGAGAGCUCCUUUUGUGAGGAUUCUGAGUGUGGGAGGAAGAGAGAGAAGCAAGAGAGAGAGAGAGGGUAGAAAAAACAGAGGGUGUUGAGUGUAGGCGCAUCGAAGAGGAAUCUAAUUUCUUUCUAACUGAGCAAAAAUGAUAGAAAAUCAUGAAGAGCUAUCGGUGCAAAGCCAGAUGUUUCCUGCUGUACAGUCCAGGCACCCAAGUGUCAGCGUAGAUGGGCUACAUGGCAUCUACCAUGGUGGGGCACUGUCUAGGCGCCCACAAGUGCCAAGAUUAUGUCCUCUUGCGUGCUGCAUAUGCGCAUCACACUGCGCACGAGAGGAAGGAUACUGCUAGGCACCCCCAUUGUGCCAAGAGUGUUAUGUCGUAGGCACCAUGCGUGCCUUGUGUGCAAUGUGUGCAGGGGCACCUGCCUUGGUGCCAAGCCAUGCCUAAGACUUAUGCACCAAGGACCCACUGUUGUGCAUUAGUUCAUGGGCUGUGCAUGUCGAUAGGCAUACACGCGCUGAGUGCUUGUGCAGGUCGAUACGUCGUUAGGUUCUUAGCCUCGGGUAAGGCUUAAGGGAAAGCCUCUCCCUGCACCAAUAAGGUGCAAUAUUCAGAAAUUGUAAAAUUCAUUAAACUUGAAAUUAAUUUAAUGAAUGAAAAUGGAUAAAAUUUAUAAAGAAAGAAAAAUGAAAAAAAAAUUCAAUUUUGGAAUUAAUAUAAGAAAAUUAACACAACAUAAGAAAAUUGUGAAUAUAACGUUGCAAUUUUUGAAGAAAUGAGAAAUUUGGGAAUUUCAAUAAUAAACCUAUAAAUUGAUAUUGGUAAAUGCAUAGAUUAAGGGACCUAGACUUAAAGGCUAAUAAAUAGAAAACAAAAUGAAAUCACAUUGUUGAGUCUAAAUCUGAUUCUCUAGUUUUCUUUGGAGGUAGUGGUAAUUGUAGUAACUUGCAGGAGCCACUAGGCCUAUGACUUGGGGGUAUGUUUGAAUAGUUGGGACAUAAUUUGUCAAGGACAAAAUGUGACCAUGGCUAUCUGAGAUAGUUGCACCCACCGUGUGAAAUGAAGUCGUCUGAGAAAGUUGUUACUAUUACUAUCUAGGAUAGUUGGCACUAUGGCGACCCGAGACACCUAGCGUGUAUGGACCAAAGUGCUUAGUGUCCUUUUUCUGUACUUAUUUAUUUUAUGAUGAUGCAUGUAAUUGUUAUUGACAGAUGUAAUUUGUUUACCCAUUUCAUAGAUGGUGGUGUCCUUUGUUGUCCUCCUUGGAAAUAUGGUUAGCAGCUGCGCGCAUAAAUGUGGACUCACUUUAAUUAACUGUAAGAUAAUAAGUCUGUAAUCUCUAAAACUAUAAAAUUUUAGUCUUAAUAACAAGGUGGAGGAUAUGUGUGUUAAGACUAUUGAUUGAUUGUGAUAUUCUAGAUGUAAUACAUUGGCACUUUGAUAAGAAGAAUGGCACUAUUGAGUAGAUAAUA